GCAAAGCAAGCUUGCUGCUUCGCUGACGAGUGGCGGACGGGUGAGUAAUGUCUAGGGAAACUGCCUGAUGGAGGGGGAUAACUACUAGGAAACGGUAGCUAAUACCGCAUAACGUCGCAAGACCAAAGAGGGGGACCUUCGGGCCUCUUGCCAUCGGAUGUGCCCAGAUGGGAUUAGCUAGUAGGUGGGGUAACGGCUCACCUAGGCGACGAUCCCUAGCUGGUCUGAGAGGAUGACCAGCCACACUGGAACUGAGACACGGUCCAGACUCCUACGGGAGGCAGCAGUGGGGAAUAUUGCACAAUGGGCGCAAGCCUGAUGCAGCCAUGCCGCGUGUAUGAAGAAGGCCUUCGGGUUGUAAAGUACUUUCAGCGGGGAGAAGGGGGGUUAUGGGGGUUAAUAACCUUUGUCGAUUGACGUUACCCGCAGAAGAAGCACCGGCUAACUCCGUGCCAGCAGCCGCGGUAAUACGGAGGGUGCAAGCGUUAAUCGGAAUUACUGGGCGUAAAGCGCACGCAGGCGGUCUGUCAAGUCGGAUGUGAAAUCCCCGGGCUCAACCUGGGAACUGCAUUCGAAACUGGCAGGCUAGAGUCUUGUAGAGGGGGGGUUAGAAAUUCCAGGGGUUUAGCGGGUGAAAUGCGUUAGAGAUUCUGGGAGGAAAUACCGGGUGGGCCGAAAGGCGGGCCCCCCUGGACAAAAGACUGACGCUCAGGUGCGAAAGCGUGGGGAGCAAACAGGGAUUAGAUACCCUGGUAGUCCACGCCGUAAACGAUGUCGAUUGGAGGUGUGCCCUGAGGCGUGCUUCCGGAGCUACGCGUUAAGUCGACCGCCUGGGGAGUACGGCCGCAAGGUUAAAACUCAAAUGAAUUGACGGGGCCCGCACAAGCGGUGGAGCAUGUGGUUUAAUUCGAUGCAACGCGAAGAACCUUACCUGCUCUUGACAUCCAGAGAACUUAGCAGAGAUGCUUUGGUGCCUUCGGGAACUGUGAGACAGGUGCUGCAUGGCUGUCGUCAGCUCGUGUUGUGAAAUGUUGGGUUAAGUCCCGCAACGAGCGCAACCCUUAUCCUUUGUUGCCAGCGGUUAGGCCGGGAACUCAAAGGAGACUGCCAGUGAUAAACUGGAGGAAGGUGGGGAUGACGUCAAGUCAUCAUGGCCCUUACGAGCAGGGCUACACACGUGCUACAAUGGCGCAUACAAAGAGAAGCGACCUCGCGAGAGCAAGCGGACCUCAUAAAGUGCGUCGUAGUCCGGAUUGGAGUCUGCAACUCGACUCCAUGAAGUCGGAAUCGCUAGUAAUCGUGGAUCAGAAUGCCACGGUGAAUACGUUCCCGGGCCUUGUACACACCGCCCGUGCACACCAUGGGAGUGGGGUUUUGCAAAAAAA
RNAcentral lists this ribosomal RNA (1385 nucleotides) under Enterobacter sp. S5. RNAcentral's name for it is "bacterial SSU rRNA". It matches the Rfam family "Bacterial small subunit ribosomal RNA", at positions 69 to 1428 of the family's 1533-position model. Lineage: Bacteria; Pseudomonadati; Pseudomonadota; Gammaproteobacteria; Enterobacterales; Enterobacteriaceae. The record is from RNAcentral.